AGAGACUGUGCUGCUGCGCGCAUUCACCCAGAAGACAGAGAGAAGCCCGCGCGCGACCCUCCAUCCCUCCCCUCUCUCUUCGCACACGUCCACAACGAGACACGGCAGCAACAGCUAAAAGGGGGAAGAAGGGAAACAACGCGGCCAUGACGGGCACUGAUGACGGCAGCGGCGGCGGCGAUGUGCACCACAGACACGCCUGCAUGAGAGCCACCGAAUGCUGUAGUGCAGGCGGCAAAGACCACAACGACAACCACCACAUACACACACACGCACGCAAAGGAGGAAACAGAAGAUGGUUAUGGAGAGAAAACGGUGGACUGGAAGGAAGCUUUUUCGGACGCUGUCGGCUGCGUCCCUCCCCCUCCCGCCCCUCUUCUUCUUCUUCGCCUCGCAGACGUGCGCUUGAUCGCCGGCAACGAAGCAGAGGCUCGCCGCACUGCCCCUAUGGGCGUAUCUGACUCGCCCCGUUACCUAUCAAAAUGUCUUUGUUGCGGUAUUGUCGUGCUGCCAUCCCGCUCUCUCCAUGCCUCUCUCCCUACCCCUCUCUCUCUCACCUCCUCGAUUGGUGUCAUUGAAUCCUUCUCGUGUACAUAAAACGUAG
Molecule: unclassified non-coding RNA, 604 nt
Filed under: Leishmania donovani
Lineage: Eukaryota; Euglenozoa; Kinetoplastea; Trypanosomatida; Trypanosomatidae
Description: gene:unknown
Source: RNAcentral